RNAcentral lists this ribosomal RNA (424 nucleotides) under Bacillota bacterium. RNAcentral describes it as "Firmicutes bacterium partial 16S ribosomal RNA". It matches the Rfam family "Bacterial small subunit ribosomal RNA", at positions 355 to 776 of the family's 1533-position model. The record is from RNAcentral. Lineage: Bacteria; Bacillati; Bacillota.
UAAGGAAUAUUGGUCAAUGGACGCAAGUCUGAACCAGCCAUGCCGCGUGGAGGAUUAAGGCCCUCUGGGUUGUAAACUCCUUUUAUCUGGGAAGAAAUGUACUUUUUCUUGAGUACUUGACGGUACCAGAGGAAUAAGCACCGGCUAACUCCGUGCCAGCAGCCGCGGUAAUACGGAGGGUGCAAGCGUUAUCCGGAUUCACUGGGUUUAAAGGGUGCGUAGGCGGGCAGGUAAGUCAGUGGUGAAAUCUCCGAGCUUAACUCGGAAACUGCCAUUGAUACUAUUUGUCUUGAAUAUUGUGGAGGUAAGCGGAAUAUGUCAUGUAGCGGUGAAAUGCUUAGAUAUGACAUAGAACACCAAUUGCGAAGGCAGCUUACUACACAAUUAUUGACGCUGAGGCACGAAAGCGUGGGGAUCAAACAGG